AGAGUUUGAUCCUGGCUCAGGACGAACGCUGGCGGCGUGCUUAACACAUGCAAGUCGAACGGUGAAGCCCUUCGGGGUGGAUCAGUGGCGAACGGGUGAGUAACACGUGGGCAAUCUGCCCUGCACUCUGGGACAAGCCCUGGAAACGGGGUCUAAUACCGGAUACGACCACGGAGCGCAUGCUCGGUGGUGGAAAGCUCCGGCGGUGCAGGAUGAGCCCGCGGCCUAUCAGCUUGUUGGUGGGGUGACGGCCCACCAAGGCGACGACGGGUAGCCGGCCUGAGAGGGCGACCGGCCACACUGGGACUGAGACACGGCCCAGACUCCUACGGGAGGCAGCAGUGGGGAAUAUUGCACAAUGGGCGCAAGCCUGAUGCAGCGACGCCGCGUGAGGGAUGACGGCCUUCGGGUUGUAAACCUCUUUCAGCAGGGAAGAAGCGCAAGUGACGGUACCUGCAGAAGAAGCACCGGCUAACUACGUGCCAGCAGCCGCGGUAAUACGUAGGGUGCGAGCGUUGUCCGGAAUUAUUGGGCGUAAAGAGCUCGUAGGCGGCCUGUCGCGUCGGAUGUG
This 571-nucleotide ribosomal RNA is filed under the name uncultured bacterium. RNAcentral's name for it is "bacterial SSU rRNA". It matches the Rfam family "Bacterial small subunit ribosomal RNA", at positions 8 to 596 of the family's 1533-position model. The record is from RNAcentral.